RNAcentral lists this transfer RNA (71 nucleotides) under Candidatus Woesearchaeota archaeon. RNAcentral's name for it is "tRNA-Gly". It matches the Rfam family "tRNA". From Rfam's summary of the family: Transfer RNA (tRNA) molecules are approximately 80 nucleotides in length. Their secondary structure includes four short double-helical elements and three loops (D, anti-codon, and T loops). The record is from RNAcentral. Lineage: Archaea; Nanobdellati; Candidatus Woesearchaeota.
GCACCGGUGGUUGAAUGGUACAAUUGGGCGUUGCCAACGCUUAGGCUCGGGUUCGAUUCCCGAUCGGUGCA